This 90-nucleotide transfer RNA is filed under the name Rhodospirillales bacterium CG15_BIG_FIL_POST_REV_8_21_14_020_66_15. RNAcentral describes it as "tRNA-Ser". It matches the Rfam family "tRNA". Rfam says of the family: Transfer RNA (tRNA) molecules are approximately 80 nucleotides in length. Their secondary structure includes four short double-helical elements and three loops (D, anti-codon, and T loops). The record is from RNAcentral. Lineage: Bacteria; Pseudomonadati; Pseudomonadota; Alphaproteobacteria; Rhodospirillales.
GGAUGGGUGGCCGAGUGGUUGAAGGCACUGGUCUUGAAAACCAGCAAGGGCUGACGCCCUUCGUGGGUUCGAAUCCCACCCCAUCCGCCA